RNAcentral lists this ribosomal RNA (253 nucleotides) under uncultured bacterium. RNAcentral's name for it is "partial 16S ribosomal RNA". It matches the Rfam family "Bacterial small subunit ribosomal RNA", at positions 524 to 776 of the family's 1533-position model. The record is from RNAcentral.
UACAGAGGUGGCAAGCGUUGUUCGGAAUUACUGGGCGUAAAGGGCGCGUAGGCGGUCUUUUAAGUCUUGUGUGAAAUCCCUCGGCUCAACUGAGGAACUGCACGGGAUACUGGAAGACUUGAGUUCGGGAGAGGGAAGCGGAAUUCCGGGUGUAGCGGUGAAAUGCGUAGAUAUCGGGAGGAACACCUGAGGCGAAGGCGGGCUACUGGGCCGAUACUGACGCUCAUGCGCGAAAGCCAGGGGAGCGAACGGG